AUACAGUCGACGAGUUCCAAAUAGGACGAAACAUGCGUACUGUAU
Molecule: non-coding RNA, 45 nt
Organism: Schistosoma mattheei
Lineage: Eukaryota; Metazoa; Platyhelminthes; Trematoda; Strigeidida; Schistosomatidae
Source: Rfam